ACAGGAGCUUUUAUCUGCACAUUAUAGGUUAGCAUAGAGGAAUCAUGACCCUAAAAUGUGUGGGAAAAUCCCAAAGGUUGACCACUGUCAAUGGGAACUACCCCAGAUGUGUCAGGAGCACAACCGGCAUGCUCACUUCUUCACUGCCUGGAGCUGGACCUCAACUAGUUGCUACUGUCCUCCUGGAAUGUCUAGUAAAAUAAACACUAAAGCUUUGCAGUCCCCUGAAAGACCAUGAAGCCCUGAGAGUAAUGUACAGAUUCCUGAAAUUGAGAGUUAAUGUAACAGGGAAGAAGACACAUGGCCUGUUCUUGAACAUGGGAUGUGAACUCUGUAACAUAGACUGUCUCUCAUAAGGCUUUUUUCAGCUCAAAGAGCAAGGCUCAGACAGCUUGCUCUUGUGCCUAACAGACAGCCUUCUGUCUGAAGACUGGAGAAAGAGCUCCAGUGAGAUUUACUGUGAGGUACUGGCUCAAGUAACUGUGAAAACUGUAAAGCUCCACAGCCUUGCAUCUACAAGGUGAAGAUCCAGGAAAGCCCAUGGCUUCGUUCAAAGGCCUGAGAGUCAGAAGUCAAGGGCAAGAGAAAACUGGUGUUCCAGCCCCAUUUUUGGCAGAGAGGGAAUUCAAUCUUCCUCCACGUGUUGCUCUCUUCUGGCCUGCAGAAGAUUGGAUGAGGCCAGCCCAUGAUCCUCACUCAGUCCACUGAUUCAAACGUUCAUCUUCUCCAGAAACAUCCUCAUAGACACACCCAGAAAUCAUGCUUUAACAGCCAUCUGAGCCUCUCAUGGCCCAGUGAAGUCGACACAUAAAAUUAUCACAUAAGAACACACCUUCAAAUUCAGGUUGUUUUUCAAUGCCUAAGUAUGAAGUUCUAAAAAGCAUGUACCUAUGAGGUAUUAGAAUGAAUACAUCCUUGUUUAAUUACCAUAAUAGAAUAUGUAAAGUAAUAUUUAUUUGUCUUAAAUAUGUCUUUAAUAUAAAUAUACCUAUUAUGUUCCAUCAUUUUGUAGUAUUUUGUGGUUUCAAUUCAGUCCAACCUAAUGUAACUAUAAAAAGGAUAUUGAAAAGUUACAGGAAAGGAAAACUAAGACAGGUGCAGCCUUGACUUGAAAGAGUUUACAAAUUAGGAAGAAAUACAUGUGAACAGAAGGCCUUGAUACAGACAAUGCUUGUCAGAGUAUUCUAAAAAAGGUCUUUCCAAAACAGCUCUGAUUAUGAAAAAUGUCCAAGGUCUCCACAUUGUCUGCAAGAGAAGACCUAACCCCAUAGACUUUCCCUACAGAGACAUUUGCCCUCAGAAUUCAUUUUCGCUCUUUGUCUUCUGUUUCCUCCUAACCUGCAUUCAGGAACCCUUUAGCUUUUAGUCAUAC
Non-coding RNA from Callithrix jacchus (white-tufted-ear marmoset), 1372 nucleotides. NCBI's taxonomy places the organism in Eukaryota, Metazoa, Chordata, Mammalia, Primates, Cebidae. The record is from RefSeq and is a predicted model, not a curated record.